This is a non-coding RNA of Erinaceus europaeus (western European hedgehog), 76 nucleotides long. NCBI's taxonomy places the organism in Eukaryota, Metazoa, Chordata, Mammalia, Eulipotyphla, Erinaceidae. The record is from Rfam.
AAUUGGUUUAAUCUCAGCUGGCAACUGUGCGAUAUUCAUACAAUCCCCCACAGUGGUCUCUGGGAUUAUGCCAAAC